GCACAAGCGGCGGAGCAUGCGGCUUAAUUCGAUGCAACCCGAAGAACCUUACCUGGGCUUGACAUCAUGGGAAAAGCCGUAGAGAUACGGUGUGCAUUAGCGUCCAUGACAGGUGCUGCAUGGCUGUCGUCAGCUCGUGUCGUGAGAUGUUCGGUUAAGUCCGCUAACGAGCGCAACCCUCGCUGUAUGUUACAUGUGUCAUACAGGACCGCCGGUAUCAAGCCGGAGGAAGGUGGGGAUGACGUCAAGUCCGCAUGGCCUUUAUGUCCGGGGCUACACACACGCUACAAUGGUCGGUACAAUGGGUUGCUAAGCCGCGAGGUGGAGCCAAUCCCCCAAAGCCGGCCUCAGUUCAGAUUGCAGGCUGCAACUCGCCUGCAUGAAGCUGGAGUUGCUAGUAAACGCGCGUCAGCUAUAGUGCGUUGAAUACGUUCUCGGGCCUU
This 443-nucleotide ribosomal RNA is filed under the name uncultured Anaerolineaceae bacterium. RNAcentral describes it as "bacterial SSU rRNA". It matches the Rfam family "Bacterial small subunit ribosomal RNA", at positions 923 to 1382 of the family's 1533-position model. The record is from RNAcentral. Lineage: Bacteria; Bacillati; Chloroflexota; Anaerolineae; Anaerolineales; Anaerolineaceae.